RNAcentral lists this ribosomal RNA (507 nucleotides) under Bacillus pseudomycoides. RNAcentral describes it as "bacterial SSU rRNA". It matches the Rfam family "Bacterial small subunit ribosomal RNA", at positions 1 to 487 of the family's 1533-position model. The record is from RNAcentral. Lineage: Bacteria; Bacillati; Bacillota; Bacilli; Caryophanales; Bacillaceae.
UUUAUUGGAGAGUUUGAUCCUGGCUCAGGAUGAACGCUGGCGGCGUGCCUAAUACAUGCAAGUCGAGCGAAUGGAUUAAGAGCUUGCUCUUAUGAAGUUAGCGGCGGACGGGUGAGUAACACGUGGGUAACCUGCCCAUAAGACUGGGAUAACUCCGGGAAACCGGGGCUAAUACCGGAUAACAUUUUGCACUGCAUGGUGCGAAAUUCAAAGGCGGCUUCGGCUGUCACUUAUGGAUGGACCCGCGUCGCAUUAGCUAGUUGGUGAGGUAACGGCUCACCAAGGCAACGAUGCGUAGCCGACCUGAGAGGGUGAUCGGCCACACUGGGACUGAGACACGGCCCAGACUCCUACGGGAGGCAGCAGUAGGGAAUCUUCCGCAAUGGACGAAAGUCUGACGGAGCAACGCCGCGUGAGUGAUGAAGGCUUUCGGGUCGUAAAACUCUGUUGUUAGGGAAGAACAAGUGCUAGUUGAAUAAGCUGGCGCCUUGACGGUACCUAACCAGA